Small nuclear RNA from Oryctolagus cuniculus (rabbit), 90 nucleotides. Its record names the gene U2. It matches the Rfam family "U2 spliceosomal RNA". Rfam says of the family: U2 is a small nuclear RNA (snRNA) component of the spliceosome (involved in pre-mRNA splicing). Complementary binding between U2 snRNA (in an area lying towards the 5' end but 3' to hairpin I) and the branchpoint sequence (BPS) of the intron results the bulging out of an unpaired adenosine, on the BPS, which initiates a nucleophilic attack at the intronic 5' splice site, thus starting the first of two transesterification reactions that mediate splicing. Lineage: Eukaryota; Metazoa; Chordata; Mammalia; Lagomorpha; Leporidae. The record is from Ensembl.
CUCUCUGUCUCGGCUUUUUGGCUAAAAUCAAGUGUAGUAUCUGUUCUUAUCAGUUUUUCCUCUAAUUUUGUUUCUUUCCUCUUACUAAUU